GAAUCAGCAAGGCCAUAUGCUCCACCUCCUCUACGUAAAACCCCAAAUGAAAACGCUUACUGUUAGCUUUUUGAGGAGUGUGGGAUUUCAGCAUUAGCUGCCCUUUCUCCUUUCUCAGUGGUGUGCAAUAAUAAAACUCCUAUUUUCUUCCACUACACCUGGUGUCAGAGAUUGGAUUGCUGUGCAACAGAUGUGAAGGGAAUCAACGUCUUUACAAUAGCAAGCCGUCCCAUCUGUGAACAUAAUGCAUCUCCCAUUACCAAGAUUCUUUUGCACGACUGCUACAUCAAGCUAUUUCCAUGGCACAAAACUCAUCUCUCUAUAUAGUUGGAAACCGAGUGAUCUAGCCAGUGACUCUGUGUCAAUGUAACUUUGCUGAAAACGAUUUCAACUUACAGUAUAUUAUAAGCGUAGUUCUACCCUUUCUUCAGAAUCCAAGCUCAACAUUCCAUAAAUGACUGGGGAGCCUACUGGAAGAAUUGCAUCUUACCAAUUCCAAGGACAGAGCGAUCUUUAAAAGAAUGCUAAAGAAAGAGAUUUAGAACAUUUCUC
Molecule: long non-coding RNA, 552 nt
Filed under: Equus caballus (horse)
Lineage: Eukaryota; Metazoa; Chordata; Mammalia; Perissodactyla; Equidae
Description: lncRNA (ENSECAG00000060262.1)
Source: RNAcentral